Molecule: long non-coding RNA, 587 nt
Organism: Zingiber officinale
Lineage: Eukaryota; Viridiplantae; Streptophyta; Magnoliopsida; Zingiberales; Zingiberaceae
Exons: 3
Source: RefSeq, a predicted model, not a curated record
CCCACGCGAGCCGUUCCCUUCCCUUCUCUUCUUCCCCCGCCGAACCACCUGUGCCCUAACCUCCGCGACGCCGAAGCAUCAUCCUUCUUCUCUUCCUCUGCCGGUACAAACCACACGCGGAGCUUUUCAUCGCCGGCCGACGAGAGCCAACCGAGGGUCUCCGUUCCUCUCAUCGGGCCGACUCCUAGCUUCUGCCCUAGCUCGGCCGAUCCCUCUUCCUCCUCCCUCACGACACCUCUGCCCUAGAUUGGCAUCGCACAGAGCAGUGCCGCCCACCAGAUCCGACCCAGUGUGCCCAUUGCUUCUUCCCUAGGUGUCGACGCCGAGGGCCCUACUUUCUUUCCUCUCCUCGCGCCGCUCAUAAUGCUAUUUUCCCUCUUUGCUCCCCGGAUUGGACCAAGCGACGCUGCUGCAGUGGAUUACAACGAGAGGAAGCUGUCGGCACUGAGUUAGGGAUACCAGUAAGAAAGGUUGUUCUGUGGACUUUCUAUUACGGCAUCAAAUUCAUCCAGCAGCAACAGUGCUAGGAAUCAAGAUAAGGAUUUUGACGCGAGACGAGCAUCUCGACGUCGGAUUGGACAUUUCUU